RNAcentral lists this ribosomal RNA (489 nucleotides) under uncultured Lactobacillus sp. Its description in RNAcentral is "partial 16S ribosomal RNA". The record is from RNAcentral. Lineage: Bacteria; Bacillati; Bacillota; Bacilli; Lactobacillales; Lactobacillaceae.
CACGUAGUUAGCCGUGACUUUCUAAGUAAUUACCGUCAAAUAAAGGCCAGUUACUACCUCUAUCUUUCUUCACUACCAACAGAGCUUUACGAGCCGAAAUCCUUCUUCACUCACGCGGCGUUGCUCCAUCAGACUUUCGUCCAUUGUGGAAGAUUCCCUACUGCUGCCUCCCGUAGGAGUUUGGGCCGUGUCUCAGUCCCAAUGUGGCCGAUCAGUCUCUCAACUCGGCUAUGCAUCAUUGCCUUGGUAAGCCGUUACCUUACCAACUAGCUAAUGCACCGCAGGUCCAUCCAAGAGUGAUAGCAGAACCAUCUUUCAAACUCUAGACAUGCGUCUAGUGUUGUUAUCCGGUAUUAGCAUCUGUUUCCAGGUGUUAUCCCAGUCUCUUGGGCAGGUUACCCACGUGUUACUCACCCGUCCGCCGCUCGCUUGUAUCUAGUUUCAUUUAGUGCAAGCACUAAAAUCAUCUAGCAAGCUGCUCGACUUGCU